UCCUACCUACGGGGGGCAGCAGUGGGGGAUAUUACACAAUGGGGGAAACCCUGAUGCAGCGACGCCGCGUGGGUGAAGAAGCGCCUCGGCGCGUAAAGCCCUGUCAGCAGGGAAGAAAAUGACGGUACCUGAAGAAGAAGCCCCGGCUAACUACGUGCCAGCAGCCGCGGUAAUACGUAGGGGGCAAGCGUUAUCCGGAUUUACUGGGUGUAAAGGGGGCGCAGACGGCGAUGCAAGCCAGGAGUGAAAGCCCGGGGCCCAACCCCGGGGCUGCUCUUGGAACUGCGUGGCUAGAGU
RNAcentral lists this ribosomal RNA (297 nucleotides) under uncultured bacterium. RNAcentral describes it as "partial 16S ribosomal RNA". It matches the Rfam family "Bacterial small subunit ribosomal RNA", at positions 333 to 647 of the family's 1533-position model. The record is from RNAcentral.